GGGUACGACGGAGCCGCAGGAUGGAGAUCGUGAUGAUCGGUCACGUUACCCCGGAGCCUGAGACACUGCCCCUGCCAGAUGCUGCGUGACCUGCGGAAAAACUGAGUAAAUCUGAAGUUAUUUCUAAAUAUUUUACAAAGGAGUCUGUGUUGGCAAGGAUGACGUCAGAACUCAUGAAUACAAGCAGCUCUUCUGAGUUAUGGGCCUUUCCCAUCAGUGGAAGAAUCUAAGUAAUGCAGCAUUACUACUGCAAUUUCCUGUUCUGUGAAGGGAGAAGGAUGUUGAUCGUGAAUUGAGUGGUGCAGAUGUGGGAUUGCUGCUUGUACGUAGUUUUAUAGCUACGGCAAUAAUGCUGUCAAUUUAUGUGGAACCUUA
Hemiscyllium ocellatum (epaulette shark) is the source of this 375-nucleotide long non-coding RNA. RefSeq lists it as uncharacterized. The record is from RefSeq and is a predicted model, not a curated record. The transcript has 3 exons. NCBI's taxonomy places the organism in Eukaryota, Metazoa, Chordata, Chondrichthyes, Orectolobiformes, Hemiscylliidae.